CAGCUUUCCCCGACGCCCUCCUCUCGAGUGGGGUGAGGGCUUGGACCAAAUCUGCCACCUUCUGUCAUCUCUGGAGGUUCCCGAGACUUCUAAUAGCUCGGAUCUGUUCCUGCCAUUGGCCGGUUCCUCCUACUUCAGAGCAAGUCUGGGCCAGCUGGGAUCCGACCAGAAAUCGCAAGCGGAGGAGACGCAGUAGCGCAGGCUGAGCGCUAACUGAAGGCGCGACCUGAGCCCGGCGCCUGCUGGGGAGCUGCGCAGCCAGGACAGCGGUCGGCAGCACAGGGCCUGGGCGCAGGGCCCGCCGUCACCACCUCACGUCGGAAGCCAGCACUGCUGCCCGCCAGCCCUGCCGCCUGCCCUCGGACUUCCCAGGGCGCCCAGGGUCCUCCCAACGCGCCUGCACCCACACCCGCCCCUGAGCCACAGUGACCUUGCAUUCCCCGCCCCCUGCCACACCUCCUGCGUGCCCGAGUGUCACCCUUAAAUACCGCUCUACACCCAGAGAGGGACGAAUACACCUCUGAAGACAGGGCAAGACUAAUUUCAAUGGGUCAGAAGGUUCUUGCAGGCACUGUUUUAUUUAAGAGUGCCUAUUUACUGGCAGGAGUAUUUGUGUGGGAGGAAGUAGGCUAAGACUGCUGUUGAACUUGAAGCUAAACUUGAAUGCCAUUUAAAAUAACAAUAAAAAUAUACUUAAAACACC
This 703-nucleotide long non-coding RNA is filed under the name Homo sapiens (human). RNAcentral describes it as "HSALNT0043566". The record is from RNAcentral. Lineage: Eukaryota; Metazoa; Chordata; Mammalia; Primates; Hominidae.